This 467-nucleotide ribosomal RNA is filed under the name uncultured bacterium. RNAcentral's name for it is "partial 16S ribosomal RNA". It matches the Rfam family "Bacterial small subunit ribosomal RNA", at positions 28 to 507 of the family's 1533-position model. The record is from RNAcentral.
GAUGAACGCUGACAGAAUGCUUAACACAUGCAAGUCAACUUGAAUUUGGGUUUUUAACUUAGGUUUGGGUGGCGGACGGGUGAGUAACGCGUAAAGAACUUGCCUCACAGCUAGGGACAACAUUUGGAAACGAAUGCUAAUACCUAAUAUUAUGAUAAUAGGGCAUCCUAUAAUUAUGAAAGCUAUAAGCGCUGUGAGAGAGCUUUGCGUCCCAUUAGCUAGUUGGAGAGGUAACGGCUCACCAAGGCGAUGAUGGGUAGCCGGCCUGAGAGGGUGAUCGGCCACAAGGGGACUGAGACACGGCCCUUACUCCUACGGGAGGCAGCAGUGGGGAAUAUUGGACAAUGGACCGAGAGUCUGAUCCAGCAAUUCUGUGUGCACGAUGAAGUUUUUCGGGAUGUAAAGUGCUUUCAGUUGGGAAGAAACAAAUGACGGUACCAACAGAAGAAGUGACGGCUAAAUACGUG